This is an RNA transcript of Oreochromis aureus, 6091 nucleotides long. RefSeq lists it as uncharacterized. NCBI's taxonomy places the organism in Eukaryota, Metazoa, Chordata, Actinopteri, Cichliformes, Cichlidae. The transcript is spliced from 5 exons. The record is from RefSeq and is a predicted model, not a curated record.
UGAGAGCCAAAACUCGUUCACAGACCAGUUCAUACUGCGGAGCUAAGCAAGCCGCGGCAUUUUCGCUCAGUGCGAAAGAACGGCGACUGCGGAGGUGAAAGUCGGUGGUCCUCGACUCAAGUCAGACCCACCAGGGAGGUAGGCUGAAAGAGGAGGUUGCUUUGGCCGCCUCUCACUCUCCCUCACCGUCCCAGUGCCGUGCGAAACCCGCUACGGUUGUCUGCUGACUUAAGACUUUCCAGAGAGCCGUCCCCUAUAUAUGGCGCAGGGCACCUUUGCUAGUCCUUACGCUUAAACUGCUCAACCGCGGAGGCGAGAAAAAACGGCUUUGGCCGAGGGCGUGCGUCGGCCUCCUGUCUCCCUUACGGCUAGAAAAGAUUUAUUGCUAAAAAGAAAAAGGAGAGUCGAAAUACGAGUUGUCACCGACCAGAAACGGUGACAGCAUUUAUAGAAUGACUAUUAAAAGUCAGCGAGUGUCAAUAAUGUUAAUGUGGUUAUGUUAGUAAUACAACGAGUGCUAAUAUAACAGCUUUAAGAUGCAUUUAACGAUAUUAUUACGCGUUUUACCGUCUUUAUAGUGCUAGCUUAAAGUUAGGGUGUAAACGUGUUAGAUUUGUGUUCUCAUGAGUAAAUAUAUUAAUUUAUCUUGUGUUGUAAAAGACGUUUUCUGAUUGUCAUUUUAUUUUGGAAAUGAUUUUAUUUUGGUGAUCAUAGAGGACUUCACUUCCUGUUCCUUGUUGUUGUGAAGCGCGAACUGCCAAAAAUGGAUGUAUGUUUUUCCCUCCUGUGUUGCGGACAAUAAAAGAAACGGGAAAAGUAAUCAAUCAACCAAGUGUGUGCAUUAUUAAGAGAACAUGGCCGAAGAAGAAGAAAACUCUUCGAGCUCAACAGGUUAUGGGCCCAGGCGUGACACAACAGGAGGAAGAUGGCAGAGGUUAGUGUUCAACGGAGACGAAAACAGUUACGAACUCUGGGAGGCAAAGUUUCUCGGCCACAUGCGGAUCAUUGGUCUAAAGGACACUAUAUUAUCAGCCACUAACCCAGAUGCAGAGAAGAAUGCUGAAUGCUACGCUGAACUGAUUCAGUUUCUUGAUGAUAAAAGCCUUUCACUGGUAAUGAGAGAUGCGACUGACGACGGAAGAAAAGCUUUAAAAAUACUACGUGACCACUACGAUAGUAAAGGCAAGCCCAGAAUCAUCGCACUGUACACAGAGCUGACGUCUUUACAGAAGAAACCAGAUGAGACAGUGACAGAUUAUAUUAUCCGAGCUGAAAAAGCAGUGACCUCCCUAAGAAAUGCAAAAGAAGUCAUCAGUGAUGGACUUAUUAUCGCUAUGAUUUUAAAGGGGCUUCCUGAAGCUUACAAGCCAUUUGCUAUUCACACAACUCAAAGCAGUGAAGAUUUAACAUUCACACAGUUCAAAAGCAACCUACGAAGUUAUGAGGAAACCGAGAAAUUCGACAACAAAGUAAAAACAGAUAAUGUGAUGAAGGUUGAUUUAACCUCCAUCACCUGUCAUGGAUGCGGAAACCGAGGACAUUUUGUAAAAGAUUGUCGCCAAAAGGGAACACCUAAGUGGUGUAGCUACCAUAGAAGCUCGACACACAGUGAUGAGACAUGUAGAAGAAAAACCAAGUACAGAGAUGAUGCAAAACUAACUGUAGGAAAACAAGAGGACAAGAAAGAAGAGCAGACUUUUGUAUUUAAAGUUAGUCAAAGACUUCUGCCUACUGACAUAAUAAGAGAAGGACUAAUGGUGGACUGUGGUGCUACUUCACACAUCAUUACAGAGAAGAACAAGUUCAUAAAGUUUGAUGAGACUUUUGAUCCAGAGAAACACUACAUGGAGCUUGCUGAUGGAUCCAGGACAAAUAACGUCGCACUCAAGAGGGGAGAUGCCAACGUCUCUCUACGGGACGUACAAGGACACUGUACCACCAUCACACUGAGAGAUGCUCUGUUCAUCCCAUCCUACCCUCAGAGCAUAUUUUCAGUGAAGGCAGCUACAACCUAUGGAGCACAGGUGGUCUUCAAGAAGGGACAGAAUGAACUAGUGAACAAAGAUGGGACAGUCUUCUCCAUUGAAGAAUACAACAGACUCUACUAUUUGAAAACGAGCAACCUGUGGAAUCCCCCAAACCUAUAAAGAGGCACUGAUGUCACCAGAGGCACCAAGGUGGAAACAGGCAAUGGCAGAAGAAAUCAACUCUCUGAAAGAGAAUGACACAUUCGAACUGACUACUUUACCUACUGGUAGAAAUACCAUUGGAGGAAAAUGGGUCUACGCCCUCAAAGAAAAUGAACAAGGACAAAUAUUCAAAGCCAGGUUUGUAGCAAAAGGUUACAACCAAACACAAGGAAUAGACUACCAAGAGACAUUUGCACCAACAGCAAACAUGACAUUUGUGCGAACCCUAAUGCAAAUAUCAGUCCAGAAUGAUCUUAUUAUCCACCAAAUGGAUGUUAAAACUGCAUAUUUGCAUUCUCCCAUUGAGGAAGAAAUAUACAUGGACCAACCAGAAGGUUUUGAGCAAACAGAGUCAGGAGAAAAUUUGGUGUACAAAUUAAAGAAAUCCCUUUACGGGUUAAAACAAUCAGGGAGAAACUGGUACAAACUCUUGAAUGACUACCUUGAACAAAAUGACUUUGAAAGAAACCUUUCUGAUCACUGUGUAUACAGGAAAGACAUUGACCAUGAAACUCUACUGGUUAUCAUCUGGGUAGAUGACUUGAUCAUUGCGGCUAGCAAUAAUAACUUGUUAAACACAUUCAAAGAAACAAUGAGGUCAAAGUUUAACAUGAAAGACCUGGGGAAAAUAUCCAGUUUUCUUGGUAUCCAGUUUAUACAAAAAGAGGCUGAAAUCAGGAUGAAUCAGAAGAGAUACAUUCAAAGAAUGUUGGAACGCUUUGGGAUGUCAGAAUGCAAACCCAGAUCCACACCGUGUGAACUAAAAACGGACACUACUACAUGUGGAGGAAGUGAUGCAAAUGAGACAGUUAACUCAAGAGAGUACAGAGAAAUAGUGGGCAGUCUGAUAUAUGCCAUGACGUGUACGAGACCAGAUAUAAGCUGGGUUGUUAGCAGACUAUCUCAAACACUAGCUCAACCCACGAGAGAGGACUUAGUAACGGCAAAACAAGUCCUCAGAUACCUAAAAGGCACAAAUGACUUUGAACUCAUCUUUAAGAAAAGCAGUGAGGAUCUAGAUCUAAUUGCUUACAGUGACUCUGACUGGGCAUCCUCUGUAAAAGACAGACGCAGUACAGUAUCAUCAGAAUCCAACUAUUUUUAGACAUUGAAUUUAUAACACUGAAUUUUUAUCCUCCAAAUUUCCCUGCAAAAAAUAUUCACCUGCAAAAAUUCACCUGCAAAAAAUUCACCUGCAAAAAUUCACCUGCAAAAAAUUCACCUGCAAAAAUUCACCUUUUCACCUUUUAAUGCACCUUUUCAAAUUAAUUCACUACGUUUCGUGCCUAACGGAGUUAUUUUUACACAUUCCACCACCUUUCAUUGUUUACCGUUACAACCCCCCCCCCAAGAAAAAACAUCGGCCCAUAAAAACGAAAAAUCACCAUCGACCCACCGGGCAAAUGCCGACGGCCAGUCCAGGUAUGGUCAUGCCAUCAGUUAACCCUUCGCGUGCCAGCUGUGCCACGCGUGCCCAGGGUUGCCGACCCCUGCUGUAAAUGAUCAGUACAGUACGUGAUAUUAAGGGCAAGCGGUCAACACUGGGGAAGAAAAGAAGCAGAAGUCCUUCCAAGAAGGAGCUGCAGUGAGGACACAGUCUGGUCACUGAGGAUGAGAACAUCAAAAUGACCAAAGUAGCUGAGCAGAUUUCAUCUCAACAGACAAAGCUGAUGGCAGAAGAAGUCGGAGAAGAGCUUUAGGCCGUGGACUGAAAAGGUAUCAAAAGACAUUUGGAGUGACGGCUUCUACAACUCAGUUUUUGGUUGUGCUGAAGUAAAGCUUACAGUCUAGGUCACAGUAUUGAUAUUCAACAAAGAAAAGCUCACUUGUUUGAAUUUAUUUACAAUCAUAGUUUUUAUAAAUUCUGACUCUAAACAGCUUUUACAUCUUUGAUAUUGUUUGACACUAGAUAUCAGGUGAUGGGAUUUAAUUUAAUGUCCCAAUGAGCCAUUUACACUGACAAAGGUCAGUUGAACUGUAACACAUUCAUUAUUUAGAUCCAACAUUUCUAAGAGAAAUAACUGAAUGUAAAAAAUGGCAGCCCUCAGGCCAGGUUUAAUUGAUAGAGAUAUCUGCAUGCAUUAUGAAAUUUAUGUAUCCCAGAUAAUUGUUAUUCAUCUAGUCAUGGCAGACCCACACCUUCCUCCCAAGUUAACUGCAGCCCAAAAUAAGUAGUGGCGAUAUUUACACACUCACAACCAGUGUGGUGUAAAAAGAGCAACCAAAAACCUAUCAGCCUGCACAGCCACAGAUGUGCUAGAAGCUCGAAAAGCUAGAAGCUCUGCUUAUGGAGAAACUCAUGGAGAAACUUUCUAAGCCUAACAGGGGACAGGUACUCCUGCCCAAAUAACAUGAUAUAACCGCACAUACAGCCCAGCCAUAAAGUGAACCAAGUCAUUUAGUUAAAGACAGUGUUUGGGUUAAUGUAUGUGUUGUAGGUUGCCAUUUUAAAAGCUACACAUUCAAAAGCUAGAAUGAUUUUGUUUGCUCCCUAUGUAACCCACGCAUGUGAGUACGUGCACAUAGGGAGGAAGAGCAGCCUUGAGAAGAACAAACUGGACUCAGUGAAGGGAGUCACCUGGUGUGAUAAGGAUAGCAACAGCAUCCUGGGAGGGCUGUACUCACAUCGUAUAACCACGCUUGCACAACACACCAGCACACGCAGACAGUUAAUCUUUGUUCACAUAUAUACCUGUUUAAGAUGUCACAUGUUAAUGAGACUAUGUAUAUUCAUGUGUGCAGCCUGCAGGGGGAAGUGGGUUGGAGACAACUGCUUCCCUCUCGCAAGUGAAAACUUGAGCUCCGUGUGACCUCGUUCCUGAGUGAGAUUCUGUUUAUCCAGCAGUAUCAGGGGUAAAACUCUGACAACAGCAUGGGACCAAAUGCAUCUAACCAGCCUGCACCAACCUGAUAUUUCUUCCUCCUGAAUUAAAUGAAUGGAUGGAUGAAAGUUAAAUGACUACAAACCUAAAGCCACUAGUUCCCACACUGGAGUUUCCUGACACUGUGUGUUUAAUUGUACUGAGCUUGUAUCAACACUUGUAACAGGCUAAGCUACCCGAGACACUGCAUUGAAUUAUUGUUUCUAUCUUAAUGAUUUCAGCUGACUGGUUUUAGCUCAGAUGUUCCGCUUUUUCCUUUCAGUAGAUCAAAAUAACUUGUGCUCUUUCUGCUUCUAAUUUGAUGGCAAGAAGAAAAAGAAGAAUGCUUCAGCAAAGUGGUGUUCAUGGUCUCAGUGAGCAGUGUGCCGAUCAUGGUCACACACUGCAUGUGGUUCAAAAAGCAACAUGUCUGUUCACCACAACAAUCAAAAAGUUUGAAAUAUGUAUUGUUGUGAGAUGUGUAAUAUUAGUGCAUGCUACGGUUUGUUAUUGAACAUUGUUCAGUUGUGUUUUCUACUUAGACCACUUAGAUCAAAAAAAGUGUUGGUUUCAGAUUCUUUCUUUUUAAAUUUAUAAAGCACCUGUUCAUUUUUUUAAUAAAAUUAGUUUGACAUAAAUUUUAGUGUUUCCUUUAUAAUCUUUUAAUGCUUACACUACACUGUAAACAUCUACAUUAGAGACAUUUCUGUUACCUAUUUAUGAGACUGGGCUGCUUGACUACAAUUUGGAAGUGGAUGCAAAAUCACAUGGAGCGUGCUCUCGUUUCUUUUUUAAUAUGAUGGACUGAACACAGGAGGUAUCCGCUUUUGACUAAGCACAGAUUAAUCUGAUCCCAUUUCUACCUGUCUGUACUAUUUGAAGAUUUCACUGAAGUUUGCUCAACUGUAAUUGUCAGGAUAUAUAUUUUUUCCAGCUCUCAAAGGGCAAAGGAAUGACUCAGACUUAUCAAAUGUUCUUUGAUUAGAUACACAAUGUGAAGUUCAUAAUUUUUUGCAAAUAAAACUAUAUGACAAACAUGAA